AACGCAGGUGGUUUGGUAAGUCAGGGGUGAAAGUCCACAGCUUAACUGUGGCACUGCCUUUGAUACUACCUUUCUUGAGUGCAUGAGGGGGAAGCGGAAUUCCGAGUGUAGAGGUGAAAUUCGUAGAUAUUCGGAGGAACACCGGUGGCGAAGGCGGCUUCCUGGCAUGUAACUGACACUCAUGUUCGAAAGCGUGGGGAGCAAAACAGGAUUAGAUACCCUGGUAGUCCACGCCCUAAACGAUGGGCACUAGGUGUGGGAGGUAUCGACCCCUUCCGUGCCGCAGCUAACGCAUUAAGUGCCCCGCCUGGGGAGUACGGCCGCAAGGUUGAAA
RNAcentral lists this ribosomal RNA (334 nucleotides) under uncultured bacterium. Its description in RNAcentral is "bacterial SSU rRNA". It matches the Rfam family "Bacterial small subunit ribosomal RNA", at positions 568 to 899 of the family's 1533-position model. The record is from RNAcentral.